RNAcentral lists this ribosomal RNA (699 nucleotides) under uncultured bacterium. RNAcentral's name for it is "bacterial SSU rRNA". It matches the Rfam family "Bacterial small subunit ribosomal RNA", at positions 8 to 708 of the family's 1533-position model. The record is from RNAcentral.
AGAGUUUGAUCCUGGCUCAGGACGAACGCUGGCGGCGUGCUUAAUGCAUGCAAGUCGAACGAAGAACCCACUAUGGGUAACCACUGUGGAAUUCUUAGUGGCGAACGGGUGAGUAACACGUGAGAAACCUGCCCCGGAGACCGGAAUAGCCCAGGGAAACCUGGAUUAAUACCGGAUACCCUCUUGCGAUCGCAUGAUCGAUUGAGGAAAUGGUCCGCCGCUCCGGGAUGGUCUCGCGCCCUAUCAGCUAGUUGGUGAGGUAACGGCUCACCAAGGCAAUGACGGGUAGCUGGUCUGAGAGGACGAUCAGCCACACUGGGACUGAGACACGGCCCAGACUCCUACGGGAGGCAGCAGCAGGGAAUUUUGCACAAUGGGCGAAAGCCUGAUGCAGCGACGCCGCGUGGGGGAUGAAUGCCUUCGGGUUGUAAGCCCCUUUCAGGAGGGACGAAGCGAAAGUGACGGUACCUCCAGAAGAAGCCCCGGCCAACUACGUGCCAGCAGCCGCGGUAAUACGUAGGGGGCGAGCGUUGUCCGGAUUUAUUGGGCGUAAAGAGCUCGUAGGCGGCUCAGCAAGUCGGCCGUGAAAACCUGAGGCUCAACCUCAGGACGCCGGUCGAAACUGCUGUGGCUAGGGUUCGGUAGAGGAGAGUGGAAUUCCCGGUGUAGCGGUGAAAUGCGCAGAUAUCGGGAGGAACA